This 102-nucleotide transfer RNA is filed under the name Myotis davidii. It matches the Rfam family "tRNA". From Rfam's summary of the family: Transfer RNA (tRNA) molecules are approximately 80 nucleotides in length. The record is from Rfam by way of RNAcentral. Lineage: Eukaryota; Metazoa; Chordata; Mammalia; Chiroptera; Vespertilionidae.
GCUGGCAUGGCUCAAUGGUUAGAGCAUAGGCCUGUGCACCAAAGGUCUCAGGUUUGACUGCUGGUCAAUGGCAGGGUUGCAGGUUCAAUCCUGCCGCCCGCC